UGCGAGUUGAUGGGAUACCUAAAUCUCCCAUGGCAAACUGCUCAGUAACACAUGAUCAACUUACCCUAUAGAGAAAAAUAACCUCGGGAAACUGAGGAUAAUAUUUCAUAGUUGAAUAGGCUUGGAAAAGUUUUUCAAUAAAAGGGAUAAAAAAAAUGGUUUUUAUCUGCUAUAGGAUAGGAUCGUGGUCGAUUAUGGUCGUUGGUGAGGUAAUGGCUCACCAAGCCGAUAAUCGAUAGGGGCCGUGAGAGCGGGAGCCCCGAGAUGGGUACUGAGACAGCGACCCAGGCCUUACGAGGCGAAGCAGGCGCGGAACCUCCGCAAUACACGAAAGUGUGACGGGGUUACCCAAAGUGUUCAAUUUUGAACUGUGGUAGGUGAGUAAUGUUCCCUACUAGAAAGGAGAGGGCAAGGCUGGUGCCAGCCGCCGCGGUAAAACCAGCUCUUCAAGUGGUCGGGAUAAUUAUUGGGCUUAAAGUGUCCGUAGCCGGUUUAGUAAGUUCCUGGUAAAAUCGGGUAGCUUAACUAUCUGCAUGCUAGGAAUACUGCUAUACUAGAGGGCGGGAGAGGUCUGAGGUACUACAGGGGUAGGGGUGAAAUCUUAUAAUCCUUGUAGGACCACCAGUGGCGAAGGCGUCAGACUGGAACGUGCCUGACGGUGAGGGACGAAAGCCAGGGGAGCGAACCGGAUUAGAUACCCGGGUAGUCCUGGCCGUAAACGAUGCAUACUAGGUGAUGGCAUGGCCAUGAGCCGUAUC
Molecule: ribosomal RNA, 758 nt
Filed under: uncultured archaeon
Lineage: Archaea
Description: bacterial SSU rRNA
Rfam family: Archaeal small subunit ribosomal RNA
Source: RNAcentral